GCUAGGUGUGGUAGUACAUGCUUAUAAUCGCAGAUUCCAAGGAGGCUGAGGUUGGAAGAUCUCUUGAGCUGGGGAGUUCUGAGCUGCUGUGCACUAUGCCAAUUGGGUGUUCACACUAAGCUUGGCAUUAAUUUGGUGAGCUGGAAGUGGGAGGCCACCAUAUUGCCUAAAGAAGCACAAACUUGUCCAAGUCAGGAAUGGACCAGGUCAAAGUUCUAAUGCUGGUCAAUAGAGGGAUAAAGCCCCUGAAUAGCCCCUUCACUCCCAGCCUUGGUAUGAGUACCACACUUAA
RNAcentral lists this signal recognition particle RNA (292 nucleotides) under Vombatus ursinus (common wombat). RNAcentral's name for it is "Metazoan signal recognition particle RNA (ENSVURG00010024557.1)". It matches the Rfam family "Metazoan signal recognition particle RNA". From Rfam's summary of the family: The signal recognition particle (SRP) is a universally conserved ribonucleoprotein. It is involved in the co-translational targeting of proteins to membranes. Lineage: Eukaryota; Metazoa; Chordata; Mammalia; Diprotodontia; Vombatidae. The record is from Rfam by way of RNAcentral.